Molecule: small nuclear RNA, 107 nt
Filed under: Salvator merianae (Argentine black and white tegu)
Lineage: Eukaryota; Metazoa; Chordata; Lepidosauria; Squamata; Teiidae
Source: RNAcentral
NUGCUUGCUUUGGCAGCACGUAUAUUAAGAUUGGAAGGAUACAGAAAAGAUUAGCAUGGCCCCUGUGCAAAGAUGACAUGCAAAUUUAUGAAGUGUUCCAUAUUUUU